Molecule: ribosomal RNA, 292 nt
Filed under: uncultured bacterium
Lineage: Bacteria
Description: partial 16S ribosomal RNA
Rfam family: Bacterial small subunit ribosomal RNA
Source: RNAcentral
GUGCCAGCAGCCGCGGUAAGACGUAGGGCGCGAGCGUUGUCCGGAUUUAUUGGGCGUAAAGAGCUCGUAGGCGGCUCGUUGCGUCGGCUGUGAAAACCCACAGCUUAACUGUGGGCCUGCAGCCGAUACGGGCGAGCUAGAGUUCGGUAGGGGAGACUGGAAUUCCUGGUGUAGCGGUGAAAUGCGCAGAUAUCAGGAGGAACACCGGUGGCGAAGGCGGGUCUCUGGGCCGAUACUGACGCUGAGGAGCGAAAGCGUGGGGAGCGAACAGGAUUAGAUACCCUAGUAGUCC